This 73-nucleotide transfer RNA is filed under the name Podarcis lilfordi (Lilford's wall lizard). It matches the Rfam family "tRNA". Rfam says of the family: Transfer RNA (tRNA) molecules are approximately 80 nucleotides in length. Their secondary structure includes four short double-helical elements and three loops (D, anti-codon, and T loops). Lineage: Eukaryota; Metazoa; Chordata; Lepidosauria; Squamata; Lacertidae. The record is from Rfam by way of RNAcentral.
CCCCAGGUAGCUCAGUUGGUCGAGCAAGAGACUCUUAAUCUCAGGGUCGUGGGUUUGAGCCCUACCUUGGGCA